This 432-nucleotide long non-coding RNA is filed under the name Equus caballus (horse). RNAcentral describes it as "lncRNA (ENSECAG00000041285.2)". Lineage: Eukaryota; Metazoa; Chordata; Mammalia; Perissodactyla; Equidae. The record is from RNAcentral.
GACAGACGGGGAGAGACAGACGCAGCUUGUGCUCUGCUCCAGCCUCAGGAUUUGCUGUCACUUUCCCAGUCUCAGCGUCACAUCUUCAAGUAGCCCCGGCCAUCUGGAGCAGCCUGGAGCAGGGCCAGGCCUGCCUUGCUGGAUAUGAACAGGGCCCCAGGGAUCGAGACCCUGGCGCUGGCAGCAAGGGGCAGUGCUGGAGAAGCACCGUUUAAAACAGAUAGAGCCAGUCGACAGUCUGGAAAAUUCUGCUGAUCAUCGGAUUGUGUAAAGUUGUGGAAGCUUUGGUUCUCAUCAACGCAUACUCAAAACGCAAGCUAUUUCCCGUCAGGGAGAUACUUAAGACAGCGACAGGCUUAGCUAUAAAAGCACCAUUAAUUUGUUCUCUCUUCUGAUGACAGUCCUAUGAAAUAAAUCUAUCAGAGGUCCUGC